GUCCGUCAAAUUAAUGUUGAGAAUUAUUAAAUUUUUUUACUCCACAAAGAAAAAGCAAACCUCCUUAAAAGAAGAUUUGCUUAGUGAGUUAAGAUUAAUGAGCAUUGAUUUCUUGGGCGAUUUCACGACCAGAUAAGUCUGAACCGUAGUAAGUUGGCCAAUGUUCUAACUCUUUAUGUAAUUUUUCUUGGCUGUCACCACCCCAGUACAGGUGGAAAUGCUUUGCUUUUUCAGGAGCAAUGGCAUGGUCACUGAAUUGAACGUAUUUGAAUUCGCCAGCAUCUGCUUCUUUAGCUUCAAACAUGAAACGAACCCCGCGAUUUCCUUUUGGAUAGGUCAAGAUUUCUUUGCCGGCGUAUGUGUAAGUGAAGGUUUUCUUUUCACCAUUACGAACAAAGGUCAUGGUCUUUUUCUUACCAUUGAUUUUGAUUUGUUCCACGUCAGUUUUAUAACCAGUAGUGUAGUAAUCUUUGUACUCGGCUGCUGUCAUUUUACCUUUAGAUUUUUUAGCCUUGUAGUCCCAAACUUGGUCUAAAGUACCAUUUUGUAGAUAGGGGUAAACAGAUUGCCAGCUACCUGACCAGUCAGAUAAUUGACGAUCUUUGACUUCUUUGUCUUUGAAAUAACCAUUGUAAACUGUCUUAGUCGUGUCUUUUUCUGGAAGAAUUUCUUUACCAGCCACAUCAGUGGUUAAGCGUAAGGUUUCAAGGUUUUUACGCAUGACCGUAAAGUAAUCUUGGCCAGCUUUCAUCUCUUUUUCAGUCAAACCUUCAAGCGGACUAAGCACAGCCGCUUUAACUCCUGCUUCUUUAGCUAGGGUUUUUGCGACUUUACUUGACGCAUUUUCCUCAAAAUAAAUGUAUUUGAUGCCAUAUUUUUUAACGUAUUUUGACAAAGUAGCAAUACGUUUUGCUGAUGGUUCUGCAUCUGGUGUGACACCAUUAAUAGAAAUUUGGUUCAAGCCAUAGUCAAGUGCCAUAUAACCAAAAGCUGCGUGUUGUGUCACAAAGCUCUUUUGCUUAGCAUCUGAAAGUGCUGCCGUAUAGUCUUUGUCAAGCUCUUUUAAUUUUUCAAUAUAAGUAGCGGCAUUGGCUUUGAAGUUCUCUGCUUUUUCUGGGUAAGCUUUUGAAAGACUGUCGCGAAUAUUUUCAACGACUGUAAUGCUACGGUAUGGUGACAACCACACGUGUGGGUCAAAAGCAUGGUUGUGUCCUUCUUCGCUAUGUUUAUUAUGCUCAUGCUUUUUGUCAGCAUCCUCAUGGUGAUGGUCAUGUCCAGCUCCUGCUACCAAGAGCAUGUUACCAGUUCCCUUGACGAUGGUCACUUUUUUAGAUGUCAAUGAUUUUUUCACAUCAGAAACCCAAGUUUCCAUAUUGUCAUCCAUAUAAACAAAUGCAUCUGCAUCUUGGAUUUUUUUAAUGUCUUUUGUAGAAGGCUCAAAAUCAUGAGGUUCCGUUCCUGCUUUCAU
Molecule: non-coding RNA, 1468 nt
Filed under: Streptococcus pyogenes
Lineage: Bacteria; Bacillati; Bacillota; Bacilli; Lactobacillales; Streptococcaceae
Source: RNAcentral